AACGCGAAGAACCUUACCAGGUCUUGACAUCCCCCUGAAGCUGCUAGAGAUAGCAGGGGCCUUCGGGACAGGGGAGACAGGUGGUGCAUGGUUGUCGUCAGCUCGUGUCGUGAGAUGUUGGGUUAAGUCCCGCAACGAGCGCAACCCUUGAUGUUAGUUGCCAGCAGGUGAAGCUGGGCACUCUAACGUGACUGCCGGUGACAAACCGGAGGAAGGUGGGGAUGACGUCAAAUCAUCAUGCCCCUUAUGACCUGGGCUACACACGUACUACAAUGGCCGGUACAACGGGAAGCGAAACCGCGAGGUGGAGCGAAUCCUUAGAAGCCGGUCUCAGUUCGGAUUGCAGGCUGCAACUCGCCUGCAUGAAGUCGGAAUUGCUAGUAAUCGCGGAUCAGCAUGCCGCGGUGAAUACGUUCCCGGGCCUUGUACACACCGACGCAC
RNAcentral lists this ribosomal RNA (441 nucleotides) under uncultured bacterium. RNAcentral's name for it is "bacterial SSU rRNA". It matches the Rfam family "Bacterial small subunit ribosomal RNA", at positions 958 to 1398 of the family's 1533-position model. The record is from RNAcentral.